GAUGAACGCUAGCUACAGGCUUAACACAUGCAAGUCGAGGGGAAACGACAUCGAAAGCUUGCUUUUGAUGGGCGUCGACCGGCGCACGGGUGAGUAACGCGUAUCCAACCUGCCCACCACUUGGGGAUAACCUUGCGAAAGUAAGACUAAUACCCAAUGAUAUCUCUAGAAGACAUCUGAAAGAGAUUAAAGAUUUAUCGGUGAUGGAUGGGGAUGCGUCUGAUUAGCUUGUUGGCGGGGUAACGGCCCACCAAGGCAACGAUCAGUAGGGGUUCUGAAAGGAAGGUCCCCCACAUUGGAACUGAGACACGGUCCAAACUCCUACGGGAGGCAGCAGUGAGGAAUUUUGGUCAAUGGACGAGAGUCUGAACCAGCCAAGUAGCGUGCAGGAAGACGGCCCUAUGGGUUGUAAACUGCUUUUAUAAGGGAAUAAAGUGAGUCUCGUGAGACUUUUUGCAUGUACCUUAUGAAUAAGGACCGGCUAAUUCCGUG
RNAcentral lists this ribosomal RNA (492 nucleotides) under uncultured bacterium. RNAcentral's name for it is "partial 16S ribosomal RNA". It matches the Rfam family "Bacterial small subunit ribosomal RNA", at positions 28 to 507 of the family's 1533-position model. The record is from RNAcentral.